AAUACUUCAGAACUAGAGGCUCUAAAGAGCCUGUGUCGCUCACCUUGGUCUAUGUGAAUAUUAAACAAAGGACGCAGAUGGAUUCAUGACAAAAUUGUGUUUUGGUGAUGGUGAUGUGUUUGUAAAUCUUACUUUACUGAACAUUCUUGCUGCUUACAAUUAUCUCUAUCUAUAAUGAACUUGGCCCAGUAGUUUCAGAGGAGAAGAUUUUUGUAAGAUAACUAAGAUUUACGAAAAAUGGUUCAAAAUUGACUAUAAAGGGCAAUAACUCCUAAAGGGGUCAACUGACCAUUUCAGUCAUGUUGACUUAUUUGUAAAUCUUACUUUGCUGAACAUUAUUGCUGUUUACAGUUUAUCUCUAUCUAUAAUAAUAUUCAAGAUAAUAACCAAAAACAGCAAAAUUUCCUUAAAAUUACCAAUUCAGGGGCAGCAACCCAACAACAGGUCGUCCAAUUCAUCUGAAAAUUUCAGGGCAGAUAGAUCUUGACCUGAUAAUCAAUUUUACUACAUGUCAGAUUUGCUCUAAAUGCUUUGGUUUUUGAGUUAUAAGCCAAAAACUGAAUUUUACCCCUAUGUUCUAUUUUUAGCCGUGGCGGCCAUCUUGGUUGGUUGACCGGGUCACGCCACACAUUUUUUAAACUAGAUACCCCAAUGAUGAUUGUGGCCAAGUUUGGUUUAAUUUGGCCCAGUGGUUUCAGAGGAGAAGGUUUUUGUAAUAGAUUACUAAGAUUUACGAAAAAUGGUUCAAAAUUGACUAUAAAGGGCAAUAACUCCUAAAGGGGUCAACUGACCAUUUCAGUCAUGUUGACUUAUUUGUA
RNAcentral lists this long non-coding RNA (818 nucleotides) under Mytilus galloprovincialis (Mediterranean mussel). Lineage: Eukaryota; Metazoa; Mollusca; Bivalvia; Mytilida; Mytilidae. The record is from RNAcentral.